UCCUGGUUAACCCAGGCAGUCUCAUUAGAGUUCCCACCUUAAAUGUUGGCAACUAAUGAUAAGGGUUGCGCUCGUUGCGGGACUUAACCCAACACCUCACGGCACGAGCUGACGACGGCCAUGCAGCACCUGUGCAGCAGUCCCGAAGGAAGACUCCAUCUCUGGAGCUGUCUACUGCAUGUCAAGCCUGGGUAAGGUUCUUCGCGUUGCAUCGAAUUAAACCACAUGCUCCACUGCUUGUGCGGGUCCCCGUCAAUUCCUUUGAGUUUUAGCCUCGCGGCCGUACUCCCCAGGCGGGGUGCUUAAUGCGUUAGCUUCGGCACGGAUGGGGUCGAUGUCCACCCACACCUAGCACCCAACGUUUACGGCUAGGACUAC
RNAcentral lists this unclassified non-coding RNA (378 nucleotides) under uncultured bacterium. RNAcentral's name for it is "contains 16S-23S intergenic spacer region". The record is from RNAcentral.